RNAcentral lists this ribosomal RNA (512 nucleotides) under uncultured bacterium. Its description in RNAcentral is "partial 16S ribosomal RNA". It matches the Rfam family "Bacterial small subunit ribosomal RNA", at positions 28 to 523 of the family's 1533-position model. The record is from RNAcentral.
GACGAACGCUGGCGGCAUGCCUAAUACAUGCAAGUCGAGCGAACAGAUGAAGUGCUUGCACUUCUGACGUUAGCGGCGAACGGGUGAGUAACACGUAAGGAAUCUACCUAUAAGCGGGGAUAACAUUCGGAAACGGGUGCUAAUACCGCAUAAUAUCUUCUUCCGCAUGGAAGAAGAUUGAAAGACGGCUCUGCUGUCCCUUAUAGAGGACCUUGCGGUGCAUUAGUUAGUUGGUGGGGUAACGGCCUACCAAGACGAUGAGGCAUAGCCGACCUGAGAGGGUGAUCGGCCACAUUGGGACUGAGACACGGCCUAAACUCCUACGGGAGGCAGAAGUAGGGAAUCUUCCGCAAUGGGCGAAAGCCUGACGGAGCAAUGCCGCGUGAGUGAAGAAGGCCUUCGGGUCGUAAAACUCUGUUAUAAGAGAAGAACAAAUUGUAGAGUAACUGCUACAGUCUUGACGGUAUCUUAUCAGAAAGCCACGGCUAACUACGUGCCAGCAGCCGCGGUAA